AUCCAAUGGGCGCAAGCCUGAUCCAGCCAUGCCGCGUGUGUGAAGAAGGCCUUCGGGUUGUAAAGCACUUUUGUCCGGAAAGAAAAGCUUCGGGUUAAUACCCCGAGGUCAUGACGGUACCGGCCAAAAAAGCCCCGGCUAACUUCUUGUCC
RNAcentral lists this ribosomal RNA (152 nucleotides) under uncultured bacterium. Its description in RNAcentral is "partial 16S ribosomal RNA". It matches the Rfam family "Bacterial small subunit ribosomal RNA", at positions 363 to 510 of the family's 1533-position model. The record is from RNAcentral.